AUGUCCUCCUAUAACAACACUUUCCACGCUUGGACGGAAUACGCACGCUUUCCCGGAACUCACCUUGAGGGAAAAGAGCGAGAGUGUAUGCACAAACAGCGAACAGAAGAAGAAGAAGAAUCUCCCCCCUCAGAUGAAAUGAUUCUUCUACGAAAGAAAGGCGUCUGUAAUCAGGUUUACAUCUCCGUGCGCGUCCUGGGAGAUGUUUUCAGAAAGGCACUGUUGUCUGGAGAAAUCCGGGAUACUUGGAGACUGGCUCAGCGCUCAGAAACGAGGUUAACUCCUCCACUAAAGGGUCUCAAAUCGGAAAUACCGGGAGUUUCUCCACGCCCAGGUGCAGAGUCACAUGGUAAUUUCCAGUUGAUCGGAUCAGUUGGAAUGGGACAAGAAAAUGCCUUCUUGCAACAAUCUGCAACGGGUGUCCACCAAAAAUCUUUUGUUUACUCAGGAUAAUCAACAGGCAUCAUUCCCGACCGCCUCUAGCCAAUAUUGCUUUGAAAUGAUAUACACCAGCUCCCUGUGGAGAUUGUUGACAGGGAGGUCUGUCAAUUUUCCAAAAGAAAGACACAAUUCUGUUGUCAUUUGUUGAUCCUGUGUGCGCCAUCCAACCUGUCCCCAUUGUGCUGUGGUGGCAGCAGCAGGAGGCUCAGCACCAGCCACCUUUAAACCGAACUGACAGCAAUUGUAAAUUAGCUGUCACUAUAAACUCUAUGCACCGCACGUCUAUUAUAUUUUAGGUGACUGGAUGUAAUGAUGUUAAUUGUACUUUUCCUGUUACAUAAGCAGUGAAGUAUAGCAUAAAUAAAGCAUCGGUGCACCAUACAAUCAAUGUUAAUUAAAGUGGAAAAUGGUUCUGGGGACAUUGUUUGGUUUAAAAAUAUUUAUCCAAGCAAACACUCUUCAUUUAUUCAUAUUUCACUAAGUCCAUUUAACUAUGUCCUUACAAGAGAAGGAUUAGUUAUUUUAACAGUGCAAAUUAUUUGUGUGCCCACUGUACCUUGGCUCCUGAAUUGUUAAUCAUAGACAGGAUAAUUUUGCAGCUCUUGAGUCUGGAAAUGUGGAAACUGUGAUGAUCUAACAAGUUCUGAUUAGGCCUUGUGUCAAGAUCAUUUUAAGUCAGAUGUUUAACAGAUUUCUUGUCAAAUUCCUGCAGAGAGGAGCAUAAAGUCAUAUUGAAAUGCUAUGCAGACCAUAUGUCUUUAAGUGCUGUUAAAGCUUGAUUGGCUCUAGAGUUGCAGAUGAGGUUAUGUCUUAUCUGCAACGCUGCAAUCGGCCACAUGGAGUUUUGUGACUAACUGUGUCAUGCCUUGUUGUGUGCCUGGGUGUCACUUCUUUGAGUGAUUUAUGGGCAUGCAAAUGAGGCUGUCUGUUGAAUGAGGGAGAUGUGCUGCCUUUGCUCAGCGGGCCCCGGAGCAAAGCGUGUGGGUGUGAGUCGAUCCCUAACUGCUGACACAGGCACAGAACUGGCAGGGAUUCACACAGCGAGAUGGGGAGAUGGCCUUCACAGGUCCACACGCUGACUGAUGACAUCCAGAGGAAAGUAGGCCAAGCCGGACAAGUGUCAGGCAAACAGACACCCAAAGACGGAGCGAGGGAGACAAACAUCCACUAAUCACACAGGGAGCGGAGAGAGUGGAAGGCGGCGGUGGACAGCCGGGCUGUUUUGGGGUCCGAGUUCAAUAUGUCCAAAUCUGUUUGUCUAAAGAGUAAUGAGGCGGCUGAGUCCUGGCGAAUUCCAGCCCGGGGGAUAGUGGUGGUAAAGAGAAGCCAAGCUGAGUCUCUCUAAAGGCACCAGAGUGGAAUAGAAAUUCACUUUGUUCUACUCCAUACCCAUAGUAGUGACAUUAUGAUCAAUGCACCUAUACCUUGCUGCAGCUUCUCUUUAUUUUGCUUGAAUAGCGAUGAUCUGUUAUCGUGCCGGUGUCAAACGGUCCCAUUUGUCAUGCAGCAUCCCUCAGCUGCUCCAGACAUGACUAUCAACAAAUUAUGAAGAAUCAUUUAUAAUGGGGCUCUUCUGUUGUACAUGAUAAUUUAGGGAUCUUUUACCAGUCAAGGUUCAUGGUUCAAACUCUUUUUGAGAAGAGGAUAGACUGCCCCCUUUUGGCCGCAGCUUGUGUUGUGUUCUGACCUCAAUAAUGAGCACUAAGUUCUCUUGUUUACCAGAAUAGUAUUCGUGUUAAAAUGGUUUUCGCUCUAUCAUGCAGAUACAGACAAGCAGGAGGAUGUUUUUAGCAUCCAUUUGGCCCAAACAGAUGUAUUUGACUGUACUGUCAUUACCAAAAUUCACACAAGAGGAAACCAAUUUGCAGGGUUGAUCAUGUUUUGCAAUGAAAACUCACACAUACACAACUCUGCACACACAAUACCUAAUUACUCGAUUAACAAAUGCUAUAUUUAAUCAUAAUUUACCACUGCUGUUUUCAUUCUUUCACCACAUUUGCACAGCAAGAAGAAAAUUAUUUUUUUUCAAAGUAAUUUGACGUCAAUAAGCAAACGGUGAUAACAGAUAAUUUGCACAUUACAUAUACGAUGUUCAGGAACUGCACAGGGUUGAUUUUUUCUUUUCUUUCUCUGCAACCAAUGUAAAGCAUUAUAGUGUUAAGAGUUUGAUUUUACAAAUGAGCAAUUUGGGAAAUUUAAAUGGACCCUGUAUCAAAACUGACAAAGUUAAAAUGAAAUCAUUACUUAUUAUUCACUUGCAAAAGUGAAGCUAAAGUUGAAAGCCAUAUCACAAAGUUAAGUCAGGGCUUGAUCCAAUAGAUUGUGGAAGCAAAUUCAGAAGCAAUAACCUGAAGUCAUUGUUUUUGUGUUAUUUUGUAUUUGCCGAUAUUGCUGUGGAGGAAUUUUGCUCCACUUUUUAAUAAAACUCUUCAAGUCCGUUGAGGCUUGUGUUUGAACUGUGUUCUUUUACAUUUGUUGGCAGCAGUUUAGGCCAAACUUUCUCUAAAUCUGAAGUCACAUCACAUUUGACCCCACCUGACCCCCAAUUUUUGAGUCAAUAUUUGUAUCAUUGUUGAGAAAGAUUAAGAAAUGAAAUAUUAAGCCCCUCAAAUUAUAUAUUUUUAUGUAUUUUGGAUUAUUUUCUUUGUAAUGGCUGUUCACUCUGCUGUUCUCACCUGCUACCCUUCCAAGGUCUUCUGCCCCCCCCAUAAUAUAUUGUAGCUCUGCCACUGGACAACGUCAUACUUUAAUCUGAAGGUUUUGGCUGAAUUGACUGC
Molecule: long non-coding RNA, 3218 nt
Filed under: Oryzias sinensis (Chinese medaka)
Lineage: Eukaryota; Metazoa; Chordata; Actinopteri; Beloniformes; Adrianichthyidae
Description: lncRNA (ENSOSIG00000023521.1)
Source: RNAcentral